This 587-nucleotide ribosomal RNA is filed under the name uncultured Brevundimonas sp. RNAcentral's name for it is "bacterial SSU rRNA". It matches the Rfam family "Bacterial small subunit ribosomal RNA", at positions 327 to 932 of the family's 1533-position model. The record is from RNAcentral. Lineage: Bacteria; Pseudomonadati; Pseudomonadota; Alphaproteobacteria; Caulobacterales; Caulobacteraceae.
GCCCCCGCCCGCCUACGGGAGGCAGCAGUGGGGAAUCUUGCGCAAUGGGCGAAAGCCUGACGCAGCCAUGCCGCGUGGAUGAUGAAGGUCUUAGGAUUGUAAAAUCCUUUCACCGGUGAAGAUAAUGACUGUAGCCGGAGAAGAAGCCCCGGCUGACUUCGUGCCAGCAGCCGCGGUAAUACGAAGGGGGCUAGCGUUGCUCGGAAUUACUGGGCGUAAAGGGAGCGUAGGCGGACAUUUAAGUCAGGGGUGAAAUCCCAGAGCUCAACUCUGGAACUGCCUUUGAUACUGGGUGUCUUGAGUGUGAGAGAGGUAUGUGGAACUCCGAGUGUAGAGGUGAAAUUCGUAGAUAUUCGGAAGAACACCAGUGGCGAAGGCGACAUACUGGCUCAUUACUGACGCUGAGGCUCGAAAGCGUGGGGAGCAAACAGGAUUAGGUACCCUGGUAGUCCACGCCGUAAACGAUGAUUGCUAGUUGUCGGGAAGCUUGCUUCUCGGUGACGCAGCUAACGCAUUAAGCAAUCCGCCUGGGGAGUACGGUCGCAAGAUUAAAACUCAAAGGAAUUGACGGAAACUCAAAGGAAUUG